Long non-coding RNA from Paramisgurnus dabryanus, 470 nucleotides. RefSeq lists it as uncharacterized. The record is from RefSeq and is a predicted model, not a curated record. NCBI's taxonomy places the organism in Eukaryota, Metazoa, Chordata, Actinopteri, Cypriniformes, Cobitidae.
GAGACGUAACCGAUACUGAACCUCUUGGUUCUACAGAUUUAACAGAUUAUUCUCUAAGAAAAUGUGGGAACUGGGAACAAGUAGAAGGUCCUUCACCAUAAUGUGGGACUCCGAUGGGGAACCCAAAGUGGCAGAUGCUUAACGAACCCCCCACGCCCCAUCCCAUCUCUCCGGAGUCUUCCGUGUGAAUCACCCACAACAACACCAAGGCUUCGACCACACGCACCGCAGGAGACAACACACCUGUUGAUACCACAUCUUCAACAAACAGAAGAUGCAGAAACCCUGUUUCACCUGAUGCUGUCAAUGAAUUAUGAAGACGUAACCAUGACAAUCAAUAUGGAGCCUCCAGGGCUUCUUUAAAGACAACAGAGAGUAUCUUGCAUGUGGACCAAGAUGUUGAGAUAGGAUCCAGCCCACCAGGACCCUGCAGAGGACAAGCAUGUUUGGAGAAUAGAUGGAGGCACUGG